RNAcentral lists this ribosomal RNA (548 nucleotides) under uncultured Burkholderia sp. RNAcentral describes it as "bacterial SSU rRNA". It matches the Rfam family "Bacterial small subunit ribosomal RNA", at positions 355 to 896 of the family's 1533-position model. Lineage: Bacteria; Pseudomonadati; Pseudomonadota; Betaproteobacteria; Burkholderiales; Burkholderiaceae. The record is from RNAcentral.
UGGGGAAUUUUGGACAAUGGGCGCAAGCCUGAUCCAGCAAUGCCGCGUGUGUGAAGAAGGCCUUCGGGUUGUAAAGCACUUUUGUCCGGAAAGAAAACCCCGGUCCUAAUACGGCGGGGGGAUGACGGUACCGGAAGAAUAAGCACCGGCUAACUACGUGCCAGCAGCCGCGGUAAUACGUAGGGUGCGAGCGUUAAUCGGAAUUACUGGGCGUAAAGCGUGCGCAGGCGGUCCGUUAAGACAGAUGUGAAAUCCCCGGGCUUAACCUGGGAACUGCAUUUGUGACUGGCGGGCUAGAGUAUGGCAGAGGGGGGUAGAAUUCCACGUGUAGCAGUGAAAUGCGUAGAGAUGUGGAGGAAUACCGAUGGCGAAGGCAGCCCCCUGGGCCAAUACUGACGCUCAUGCACGAAAGCGUGGGGAGCAAACAGGAUUAGAUACCCUGGUAGUCCACGCCCUAAACGAUGUCAACUAGUUGUCGGGUCUUCAUUGACUUGGUAACGUAGCUAACGCGUGAAGUUGACCGCCUGGGGAGUACGGUCGCAAGAUUA